RNAcentral lists this long non-coding RNA (729 nucleotides) under Papio anubis (olive baboon). Its description in RNAcentral is "lncRNA (ENSPANG00000042856.1)". The record is from RNAcentral. Lineage: Eukaryota; Metazoa; Chordata; Mammalia; Primates; Cercopithecidae.
CUGAUACAAGGCCAUAAGAAUGCAAUGACAUGGAUGAAAAGAAGGUAAAAGAGGUCUCAGAAAAAUAGAUUGAAGGGAGGUCAGCAAUAGAAUUGAAGAGUGGCAUAAGGGAUUAGGAUGACUUGGUGUAAGAGCAAUGUUGCCUGGGGGAGUUUGCAUUUUGAAUGUAGCAGGAGAUUGAAGGAUGGAGGACAGCAAGACUGAACGGCCUUGAGUCUGAGCUUUUAAGCAGAGUCACUGUAAACCUUAAAGCAUAUCAGCCACUGUGCUGUCUCCACCUGAAAUCCCACCAAGCAGGUUGUCUCUGUUGUUUAGUGUCACAAGUUAAAGGAUAAUGAAAAACUACUUGGCAUUUUUGAGAGACUGAAAUUGGAGACUGCCCAUUUUUCACCCACUUGAGAAAAGCUGAUUAUUUCUCAGAAACAUUGGCAACAUCCUGCAUUGACUGAGUCUGAGUCUUUCAUUUUCAAGGGUGAAGAACAUCCAGUCCCCAAAGAGGACACAGGCUGAAGUAGUAAAGGGAGGCACAAGAAGAGGUCAUGUGAAUGCACAGCAGGAAGGUAGAUCUGCAAACCAGAAAGAGAGCUCUCACCAGAACAAGACCAUGCUGGUAUCCCGAUCUGAGACUUCCAGCCUCCAGAACAGUGAGAAAAUAAAUUUCAGCUGUUUAAGUCACCCAGUCUAUGAUAUUUUAUUAAAACAGUCUGAACUAACUAAGACACACACUCC